GACGAACGCUGGCGGCGUGCUUAACACAUGCAAGUCGAACGGAAAGGCCCUGCUUGUGUGGGGUGCUCGAGUGGCGAACGUGUGAGUAACACGGGAGUAACCUGCCCUGGACGUGGGGAUAACUUCAGGAAACUGGGGCUAAUACCGGAGAGGAGCGCCUGCUGCAUGGUGGGGGUUGGAAAGUUUCGGCGGUUGGGGAUGGACUCGCGGCUUAUCAGCUUGUUGGUGGGGUAGUGGCUUACCAAGGCUUUGACGGGUAGCCGGCCUGAGAGGGUGGACGGCCACAUUGGGACUGAGAUACGGACCAGACUCCUACGGGAGGCAGCAGUGGGGAAUCUUGCCCAAUGGGCGGAAGCCUGAUGAAGCAACGCCGCGUGCGGGAUGACGGCCUUCGGGUUGUAAACCGCUUUCGCCUGUGACGAAGCGUGAGUGACGGUAAUGGGUAAAGAAGCACCGGCUAACUACGUG
Molecule: ribosomal RNA, 468 nt
Filed under: uncultured bacterium
Lineage: Bacteria
Description: partial 16S ribosomal RNA
Rfam family: Bacterial small subunit ribosomal RNA
Source: RNAcentral